RNAcentral lists this ribosomal RNA (379 nucleotides) under uncultured eukaryote. RNAcentral's name for it is "partial 18S ribosomal RNA". It matches the Rfam family "Eukaryotic small subunit ribosomal RNA", at positions 592 to 975 of the family's 1831-position model. The record is from RNAcentral.
CAAUAGCGUAUAUUAAAGUUGUUGCGGUUAAAAAGCUCGUAGUUGGAUUUCUGCUGAGAACGACCGGUCCGCCCUUUGGGUGUGUAUCUGGCUCUUUCUUGGCAUCUUCUUGGUGAACGUUGCUGCACUUGACUGUGUGGAGCGCUACCCAGGACUUUUACUUUGAGGAAAUUAGAGUGUUUCAAGCAGGCAUACGCCUUGAAUACAUUAGCAUGGAAUAAUAAGAUAGGACCUCGGUUCUAUUUUGUUGGUUUCUAGAGCUGAGGUAAUGAUUAAUAGGGAUAGUUGGGGGCAUUCGUAUUUAACUGUCAGAGGUGAAAUUCUUGGAUCAGCUAAAGACGGACGACUGCGAAAGCGUUUGCCCAAGAUGUUUUCAUUG